UACUACGGCCAUGCUACCCUGAACACGCCCGAUCCCAUCUGAUCUCGGAAGCUAAGCAGGGUCUGGCCUGGUUAGUACUUGGAUGGGAGAUCACCUAGGAAGACCGGUGCUGUAGGUG
This 118-nucleotide ribosomal RNA is filed under the name Pteropus alecto (black flying fox). The record is from RNAcentral. Lineage: Eukaryota; Metazoa; Chordata; Mammalia; Chiroptera; Pteropodidae.